AAAGAUCAUCACAAUAACAAUAAGAGCAUCACAUCAAACCACAGCACAUGCCCAAGGCACACGAAGCUGCGCUCGGUAGUGCAGUGACAGCACGUGAUAAAAGUAAGACUACAGAAUAAUAAUAAUAAUAAUAAUAAUAAUAAUAAUCACAA
Octopus sinensis (East Asian common octopus) is the source of this 152-nucleotide long non-coding RNA. RefSeq lists it as uncharacterized. The transcript is spliced from 3 exons. Lineage: Eukaryota; Metazoa; Mollusca; Cephalopoda; Octopoda; Octopodidae. The record is from RefSeq and is a predicted model, not a curated record.